Molecule: non-coding RNA, 1064 nt
Organism: Phoenix dactylifera (date palm)
Lineage: Eukaryota; Viridiplantae; Streptophyta; Magnoliopsida; Arecales; Arecaceae
Source: RefSeq, a predicted model, not a curated record
GUGGAUGCACCCUAGUUAGAGUUGUCGAUGGAGAGGGUCUGGCUUUGUUGGUCCUAGUUCUCAAUUUGGCUUGGGAUUAAAUUCAAUUUUUUGGGCGAGCAAUUCAUUGUAUUCCAUGCAUAGGAAAGAGGACAUAUACAGGGAAGGGAACAUGAGACAACUUUUUAUAGGUUACUAACCUCGUUUGCAUGUCAAAACCUAUUCUUCAACCUCGUUUCCAAGAGGAAAAUCAGGAAAAAAAAUACUAAACCUAUUUCAUUUUAUGUUUUCUUUUCCAUGCGUUUGCCUUGUAGAUUUGUUACUGAUAGCUAUUAGAUCUCAUAUCCAAGCGCUUCUUUCUAUGUUGUUUGAUGCUAUAAUAUAGUCACAACUCCAAAUUAACUGUUUGAACUUCCUUUUUUCCCUCCUACAAAAACAGGACAGUCAGGGUAAGGUGAAGAUCUACCCCAAAGAACUAGAUAUUAUCUGGGUAGUGAUGGCCGCUACUGGCGACUUCCUGAAAGGGACGAUGGACCUGUGGAGCUGCUCCAAGUUUGCUGGCUAGAAGUUACUGGUUCCUUGAAAAACGUAGAGAGCAACAAGGACUACCAAGUACUGUUCAAUGUGAGCACGAAACCGGAUGCGUUCGGGUGGAGCGACAGCCCGGUCUACCUAAUGGUCAAGAUCGGGGAUAAGUACACCUGGCAGAAGGCUGACCUGAGCCAGCUGAAGAAAACCCCGACAAGAUCCCAUACGCACCUCUUAAGUUCAAGGUCACCGGGGACGAGAAGGUUUCCUUUGGAUUAUACGAGAUAUGGAGAGGGAGAUGGAAGGGAGGCCUGCUCAUCCACGAGGUCAUCAUCGAACCAGUUGCCAACAAAUAAAUAUAUGAACUAUAUAUGCUUUAUACAAGGCCAUAAAGCUUCCUACUCCACUCUCUUUAAUGCUCAUUUCAAUUAGGAGAAGGCUUGAUCAGUUCCAUUUCGUGUUCUAUGGUGAGGAUAAACUAUAUAUACUCUGUAAUAAAAUUCCACUAUAGUGUGUGCUAAAAUAAAGUGGUCCUAUAUUCUCCUGGUUCUUCCUGA